AAACCAAGCUGUAUAAAAGACUGAGCCAGGGCUCAGGAAAGGAUCUCUGUAACCAUACUGCAUUGUACCUGGAACUUAAGGCAAGAAAUAAUAAUAGUAAAGAUACUUGGCAAAGGGAAAUACACUGACUGUGAUGAAGCAGAGAAGCUGCCUGCCAGCACGGUAGGGGUUAAGGAGAGCCUUUGGGCCCAGCUAGCCCUGCCCAUCAUACCUGCAGCCAAUGCCAGGCCUGGAGCGGGGAGAAAAGGAGAGAGCCAGUUCAAGGCUAACUGGUGAAGAGGCAGGAGCUAGCUACGGUGCUACUUGAAAGAAGGACCACUAGCCUGCUAGACAAGACAGCCACCAGGGAGCUCGUUCUGUCUCUCAGCCAAGGGAGACUGUGGAGGAGACCUCAGAACUUCCAGAAAUUGAGAACAGGCACAUCAUGAACAACAGUGCUACAAGCUUCCUGUAUAUCAUCCCAGUGAUGUACCUCGAACCUUACCAGGAGAGAGAUGAGAAGGUACAAUCAUCCAGACUAUUUAGUCCUAGCUUAUCUGCUGAGACUGCUAACAAGAUGAUGGCUCUAAGGUUGGUUUUUUUUAUCAUGUAGACAGACACCUGUCUCCUGGGAUGUACACUACUGAGAGUAAAGGACAAUUUUUUUCCCCUAAACUACAAUUGUGAAAGAUGCAUGUAUAGCAGAAUAAAACCUGUAUGUUUUCCCCAAA
Long non-coding RNA from Mauremys reevesii (Reeves's turtle), 710 nucleotides. RefSeq lists it as uncharacterized. The transcript has 3 exons. The record is from RefSeq and is a predicted model, not a curated record. NCBI's taxonomy places the organism in Eukaryota, Metazoa, Chordata, Testudines, Geoemydidae.